GACGAACGCUGGCGGCGUGCCUAAUACAUGCAAGUUGAGCGCUGAAGGUUGGUACUUGUACCAACUGGAUGAGCAGCGAACGGGUGAGUAACGCGUGGGGAAUCUGCCUUUGAGCGGGGGACAACAUUUGGAAACGAAUGCUAAUACCGCAUAAAAACUUUAAACACAAGUUUUAAGUUUGAAAGAUGCAAUUGCAUCACUCAAAGAUGAUCCCGCGUUGUAUUAGCUAGUUGGUGAGGUAAAGGCUCACCAAGGCGAUGAUACAUAGCCGACCUGAGAGGGUGAUCGGCCACAUUGGGACGGAGACACGGCCCAAACUCCUACGAGAGGCAGCAGUAGGGAAUCUUCGGCAAUGGACGAAAGUCUGACCGAGCAACGCCGCGGGAGUGAAGAAGGUUGUCGGAUCGUAAAACUCUGUUGGUAGAGAAGAACGUUGGUGAGAGUGGAAAGCUCAUCAAGUGACGGUAACUACCCAGAAAGGGACGGCUAACUACGUG
Molecule: ribosomal RNA, 497 nt
Filed under: uncultured bacterium
Lineage: Bacteria
Description: partial 16S ribosomal RNA
Rfam family: Bacterial small subunit ribosomal RNA
Source: RNAcentral